RNAcentral lists this non-coding RNA (21 nucleotides) under Caenorhabditis elegans. Lineage: Eukaryota; Metazoa; Nematoda; Chromadorea; Rhabditida; Rhabditidae. The record is from RNAcentral.
UAGUUCUAUUAGUUCUGCAGC